Small nucleolar RNA from Nycticebus coucang (slow loris), 153 nucleotides. Lineage: Eukaryota; Metazoa; Chordata; Mammalia; Primates; Lorisidae. The record is from RefSeq and is a predicted model, not a curated record.
GAUGACAAUGUUAGAGCUUGCAGUUUAGGCCACUGAUUGGCUGGUGAACUCAUACAUGUAGGUAGUAUGCUACGUGCGAGGCAAGUUUUUCACUGACACCACAAGGGUCUCUGGCCCAGUGAGCAGAGUUUGAUAGUAAUCCUUGCUACAUGU